RNAcentral lists this unclassified non-coding RNA (2265 nucleotides) under Hevea brasiliensis (rubber tree). Lineage: Eukaryota; Viridiplantae; Streptophyta; Magnoliopsida; Malpighiales; Euphorbiaceae. The record is from RNAcentral.
CAAUAGAUUUUGUACUAUAUCCUUUUUGGGUGUAAACUCAAUGAUGGUAUACAUUCACGAGGUACUAUCUGGACACAUUUUUAUGGAAAAUUGCUGUGCUCAUCCCUUGACUGAGGACGGUACAUUAAAAGACACUGCCAAAAAGGAUAUAGUACAAAAUCUAUUGAGAUUCUUGCGUUCACCAAAACCAACUUCCAAAGCUUCAAGGAAGAAAUUUGUUGGCAAGAUUUGAGCUCAGCCCUUUCAUCUCAACACCAAUUGGGAACCUACCAGUAUAGAAUUAUAACAAUAGAAAGGGAAAAGGGGGGAAAAACGAGUUAAAAGGCAACAUAACAACCUCUUGCUGCCACUGGGAGCACUUGCUCAAAUAGACAGGUAAUAGAAAACCCCCAGUUAUCGUCUUCCGCAAAAAGAUAUUUCAUCAAUUAGUCAUACAGUUUAUACAUGGAGUCCACCAACAAUCAUCAAGAGACUCCUUAAUUAUCAGUAACCCAGAAUGUCACUUCUCUUGGCUAAAUGACCUAAGAUGUUUGACUAGAUCCUCUUUCAAUGAUUCAGGUAUCUGUGAAAUAAAGGUUGAUUUGGCCUCUUCAAUCAACAGCUUCUUCAAUUCAAUAUCACUUAAGAUGUUCCUUGCUUCUCGUGCACAUAACCUCUUCCUUGAGCACAUAAAACUGUAUACCUUAUUAGACCAACCACAUGAUCGCAAACCCGAAGAAGCUUCUUGCUUGAGAACUUCUUUCAACUCUUUAACUUUGGCUCGAGAAUGAGAAUCCUGUGCUAACAAAAUGAAAGAAUCCUCCUUUAAUUUCCUCUUCAACUCUGGAUUUCCAGAAUGGCAAUUCUCUCCGCCGUUCUGCAAUUCAAGGUGAUUAGACCCUUUUUCCAUAGUUGUUCUGCCCAUAGUACCACUAGCUUCAUAGAGAUUCAGCUUUACUGACUCAAAGGCACCAUUUUGGGUAACACCGUUUUCACUUGCUACUGCUAUUGAUGGGCAGCUCUCACCAUCAACUAUUUUGUUUUUGUUGCAACCAUUUCCAUUUAUCAUUGGUGAUAUAUCCUUGUCAAGUUUCUCCAUGCAAAUUGUGUCCUUUGCAUCCCCAUUCAUUUUCAUGUUUUGACUCUUAUACAUAUCAGCCUUUCUGUCAACAGUUGGAGGAACCCUUCUGGAGCUAGAGUUUCCAAAAAUAUUAAACUUUAUCUGCGGACUAGAAGGCACUUUAUAAACCUUAGACGUGGAUGGAAUAUCAUUGCGUGAAGAUUGUUCAACACAUAGUUUUGUGGGCACAGAUUUUGGUGCAACAGAAACCUUUGGACUUUUAUAUGCCUCACUAACAUUGAGAUUGCUUGAUUUUACUCCAUUGGAAAUACAUUUUGCACCAGCAGAAACUGGCCUUUGGUUAGUGCGAGAGAAAAAAAGAAUAUAGACCUUCUCUGACAAGACAUCCUGCAGUGUUGAAAGUGUCACAUAAGAAUCAUUACAGCAAUACCACCGACCCAUUGCAUCCUUGAUAUACGCAUAGUAGUGUCCAGAUUCUGGUGAGCAUCCCGAAUGCACAAUGGUGCCAAAAAGAUUAUACUCUGGCCGUGGAUCCUGGCUCCCUUUGCACAUGAAGCUUGAAAGUACCAGAACCUCUUCAAACGCAAUAGCCUUAUCAAUCUUGCCGCCGAAUAUGCCCUCAAAUCUCUUCAGUUGGAUUACCAAGAUAUUAGGUGCUUGAAGAAUUGACAUUUGCUUCCUUGCUGUCACCAAUUUCUUACAAUUUUCACAUCUGUACUUAUUGCUGCCAUCCAAAAUCUCAGGCUGAAAAAACUUUUGCAUUGCUUCUCUAAGCGAAUUACCAUGCAAAACAUCGAGACUAAUGUCCAUAAUCUCAUCAACCUUAUUGGACUCAGAAUCACAUGACAAGCACUUCACCUGGCUCUGCAGAGCACCCCCAAAUAUCUCCUUAACGAUGGUAUUGCUGCCGUUAAUGGAGUCAUUCCCCAUGCGGCGCAUCUUCAUGAGUCGCAAGCAGGUGUUGUGGCAAGCAUCAAUGACAUAACGCAGGAACUCAUGUGCAUCCUCUUGGCGACCGCACCGAAAGUGCUCAGCAAAAAUCCUGAGACAGCUCUGGAUCUUAGCUGGGGCAUCAAGAGUUAGGUCCAGACUUAGGGAACGGACUAUCCGUUUCUCCAGUAUGCAAAAUGGACACUCCCGCUUUCGCUCCCCGUUGGAAACCGAAUCACAGAGAGAAGAGUGUUGUAAACGAAGACAAAAAUUGG